AUGGUCCUGGGGCUUUUACCAAACCCUUUAGCAGAGAGGCCAUGUUACAAGAGACAGGGUGUGAAGGAGGAGCCAGUAAAGGAGGAGCCAGUGGACGUGAAGCCAGAACCAUUCCAUACGCCUUCCACUGAGGUCAUCCAUCAGCAAGUGACGCGGGGAGGAGAGAGGCGGCUCCUCAGGAGUGCUGGCCAUGUGCCGGACGAUCCAUGUGAAGGCUGGAGCCAGAGCCCGCAGAAUCCCUCGCAAAAUGAACUCGCCAUCAGCGAGCUGGGAGGGCAGCAGGAGCCCCUGGGCACAGAUUUCACGAGUAUUAUCUUUGACCAAGAGGCAGAGCACCUGAAUGAUUGUAACGCAAGUGAGAGCGUGACCCCUGUAUCUGUGGCGCUGCAGGAGGGGGGGCUGGAGAAUGGCCAUCUUAGCCCCGUGGAGAAGCGGAUUCUCCAAUCCAAUGAGCAGCUGGUGCAGGAGAUGCGAGCCUUCCGCAGGGAGUACACGGAAAGCCGCAGGGAAACUGCCUCCAUCCUGCGCAUCAUCGCCAAGGCCCUCAGCAGUGUGAGCAGCAGCCUCUGUGAGAUCCGCGAUCUCUACCUCCGACAGCAAGUGACCCCCAAGCAGUGAGGGGCCACUAGGCCCAGUCAUCAUGCAGCGGGUAUCGGGGGGGUGGGCAGGACCUCCCACUCCCAGGGAGGGAAGUGCUGAGGGGCUGCAUGGGACAGAAACGUGAACCACCCCUCAGCCAGGGGGAGAGAGAUCUGGGGUUGGGGACAUGGGUUCUCCCACACUUCCCCUCCCACUUUCCCUACUUGAAUAAAACUCUGAACUGGCCAUAUGCUCCCCCGUCA
RNAcentral lists this long non-coding RNA (842 nucleotides) under Chrysemys picta bellii (western painted turtle). RNAcentral's name for it is "lncRNA (ENSCPBG00000012609.1)". Lineage: Eukaryota; Metazoa; Chordata; Testudines; Emydidae. The record is from RNAcentral.